UGGGAUUACCUUAGUAACGGCGAGUGAAGCGGUAAAAGCUCAAAUUUGAAAUCUGGUACUUUCAGUGCCCGAGUUGUAAUUUGUAGAAUUUGUCUUUGAUUAGGUCCUUGUCUAUGUUCCUUGGAACAGGACGUCAUAGAGGGUGAGAAUCCCGUUUGGCGAGGAUACCUUUUCUCUGUAAGACUUUUUCGAAGAGUCGAGUUGUUUGGGAAUGCAGCUCAAAGUGGGUGGUAAAUUCCAUCUAAAGCUAAAUAUUGGCGAGAGACCGAUAGCGAACAAGUACAGUGAUGGAAAGAUGAAAAGAACUUUGAAAAGAGAGUGAAAAAGUACGUGAAAUUGUUGAAAGGGAAGGGCAUUUGAUCAGACAUGGUGUUUUUUGCAUGCACUCGCCUCUCGUGGGCUUGGGCCUCUCAAAAAUUUCACUGGGCCAACAUCAAUUCUGGCAGUAGGAUAAAUCAUUAAGAAUGUAGCUACCUCGGUAGUGUUAUAGCUUAUUGGAAUACUGCUAGCUGGGAUUGAGGACUGCGCUUCGGCAAGGAUGUUGGCAUA
This 549-nucleotide ribosomal RNA is filed under the name Hanseniaspora sp. MS5. Its description in RNAcentral is "eukaryotic LSU rRNA". It matches the Rfam family "Eukaryotic large subunit ribosomal RNA", at positions 70 to 633 of the family's 3401-position model. The record is from RNAcentral. Lineage: Eukaryota; Fungi; Ascomycota; Saccharomycetes; Saccharomycodales; Saccharomycodaceae.